RNAcentral lists this ribosomal RNA (486 nucleotides) under uncultured bacterium. RNAcentral's name for it is "partial 16S ribosomal RNA". It matches the Rfam family "Bacterial small subunit ribosomal RNA", at positions 30 to 507 of the family's 1533-position model. The record is from RNAcentral.
AUUGAACGCUGGCGGCAUGCCUUACACAUGCCAGUCGAACGGCAGCACGGGUGCUUGCCCCUGGUGGCGAGUGGCGAACGGGUGAGUAAUACAUCGGAACAUGUCCUGUAGUGGGGGAUAGCCCGGCGAAAGCCGGAUUAAUACCGCAUACGAUCUACGGAUGAAAGCGGGGGACCUUCGGGCCUCGCGCUAUAGGGUUGGCCGAUGGCUGAUUAGCUAGUUGGUGGGGUAAAGGCCUACCAAGGCGACGAUCAGUAGCUGGUCUGAGAGGACGACCAGCCACACUGGGACUGAGACACGGCCCAGACUCCUACGGGAGGCAGUAGUGGGGAAUUUUGGACAAUGGGCGAAAGCCUGAUCCAGCAAUGCCGCGUGUGUGAAGAAGGCCUUCGGGUUGUAAAGCACUUUUGUCCGGAAAGAAAUCCUUGGCCCUAAUACGGUCGGGGGAUGACGGUACCGGAAGAAUAAGCACCGGCUAACUACGUG